RNAcentral lists this ribosomal RNA (522 nucleotides) under Bacillus subtilis. Its description in RNAcentral is "bacterial SSU rRNA". It matches the Rfam family "Bacterial small subunit ribosomal RNA", at positions 27 to 531 of the family's 1533-position model. Lineage: Bacteria; Bacillati; Bacillota; Bacilli; Caryophanales; Bacillaceae. The record is from RNAcentral.
GGGCAAAACGCUGGCGGCGUGCCUACUACAUGAAGUCGAGCGGACAGAUGGGAGCUUGCUCCCUGAUGUUAGCGGCGGACGGGUGAGUAACACGUGGGUAACCUGCCUGUAAGACUGGGAUAACUCCGGGAAACCGGGGCUAAUACCGGAUGGUUGUCUGAACCGCAUGGUUCAGACAUAAAAGGUGGCUUCGGCUACCACUUACAGAUGGACCCGCGGCGCAUUAGCUAGUUGGUGAGGUAACGGCUCACCAAGGCGACGAUGCGUAGCCGACCUGAGAGGGUGAUCGGCCACACUGGGACUGAGACACGGCCCAGACUCCUACGGGAGGCAGCAGUAGGGAAUCUUCCGCAAUGGACGAAAGUCUGACGGAGCAACGCCGCGUGAGUGAUGAAGGUUUUCGGAUCGUAAAGCUCUGUUGUUAGGGAAGAACAAGUGCCGUUCAAAUAGGGCGGCACCUUGACGGUACCUAACCAGAAAGCCACGGCUAACUACGUGCCAGCAGCCGCGGUAAUACGUAGG